This 253-nucleotide ribosomal RNA is filed under the name uncultured bacterium. RNAcentral describes it as "partial 16S ribosomal RNA". It matches the Rfam family "Bacterial small subunit ribosomal RNA", at positions 524 to 776 of the family's 1533-position model. The record is from RNAcentral.
UACGUAGGGGGCAAGCGUUGUCCGGAAUUAUUGGGCGUAAAGAGCUCGUAGGCGGACUGUCACGUCUGCUGUGAAAAGCUAGGGCUUAACCCUGGCCUUGCAGUGGAUACGGGCAGACUAGAGGUAGGUAGGGGAGAAUGGAAUUCCCGGUGUAGCGGUGAAAUGCGCAGAUAUCGGGAGGAACACCGGUGGCGAAGGCGGUUCUCUGGGCCUUACCUGACGCUGAGGAGCGAAAGCGUGGGGAGCAAACAGG